UACGGAGGGUGCAAGCGUUAUCCGGAUUCACUGGGUUUAAAGGGUGCGUAGGCGGCUUUAUAAGUCGGGGGUGAAAGCCUGUGGCUCAACCACAGAAUUGCCUUCGAUACUGUAGAGCUUGAGACCGGAAGAGGUAAGUGGAACUGCGAGUGUAGAGGUGAAAUUCGUAGAUAUUCGCAAGAACACCUGAGGCGAAGGCGGGUUGCUGGGCCGACACUGACGCUGAGGCGCGAAAGCCAGGGGAGCAAACGGG
This 253-nucleotide ribosomal RNA is filed under the name uncultured bacterium. RNAcentral's name for it is "partial 16S ribosomal RNA". It matches the Rfam family "Bacterial small subunit ribosomal RNA", at positions 524 to 776 of the family's 1533-position model. The record is from RNAcentral.